RNAcentral lists this long non-coding RNA (2284 nucleotides) under Heterocephalus glaber (naked mole-rat). RNAcentral's name for it is "lncRNA (ENSHGLG00000043951.1)". The record is from RNAcentral. Lineage: Eukaryota; Metazoa; Chordata; Mammalia; Rodentia; Bathyergidae.
CUAUCCAGUCAAUAAGGCCAGCAGACCAGGUUUGGAGCUCUGCUCAAAAAGUGCUGAUUUGAAGCACUAUCAUUAUGUGACCAUCUGGCAGUUUCCUGGAAAACUAUCAUUUGAAGGACCCAUUAUUUGACCUGACUCAGCAACUCACUGGGGAAAGCCUUAUUCCCAGGGAAUGUGCCUAAAUCAGUCAGUGACAACUAUACAACAUGUAACAUUGCAGCUGCCUGAGGCUGCAAUACCAGUUGAGGGGUCAUGAAACAUCUACUUCAAGAGUUGUUAUGCUGAUUAAAUGCAAUUAUGAAGCUCCUGAACCAGCAGUCCUUCCCGGCACAGGUUUGAACUCCUUCUUAUCAGUUGCUAGUCCAGCUUUCUUACCAUGUACCAGCUCUACUUUUUCUGAACAUUCUUUGAUCUGGAAAAUGAAAGUGAGAUGAACACGUAAGUCCAACUUUGAAACAUAACAAUGCAGUACUAACUUACCCUAUCAAGCUUGAGUUUGUCUACAUCGGCUAAGAAUGGGUUGACUGCUUUCUCACCAACCACCUUCAAAGCGGUACCCAAGGCUUCAAAUGCAGCAUCUCUGACUUCAGGAGCGGAAUCAUUGAUGUGCUAUACUCCGGAACCCAACAGCCAGGCCAGUAAGACAUUUUGCUGCCAGAGCUACCAACAUGACAUUGGUGUCCUUUCCAACAACCUACAAUGGAAGAAAAAGGAAAACAAGACAGUCACAACUGUGUAGAAGAGUACUGAAAAACAUUCUCAAAAGAACUCUGAAAGCUACUGUGCUAAUGGAUGAUCCAUCUUAUUUCCUAUAAAAGAGGAAACCUUAUUCCUCUUUGAUAAUAAUGAAUCUAGAAGCCUUUGUCAUGUUCAGUCUAUCUUUAAGUUCUACAUAAAGCACACAUAAAACAACUUCAAAUCGCUUGACACAGGUGGCAAUUUGGGCUGUCACCAUCACACAGCUGCAGGAGGUGACUCAGAUAACGGCGAUGCUGCAGGUUUACUUUUGGAACAAGAAAAUUAAAAAAGUGUACUUAACACCACAGGGCCCAAAGUAGGUAACUACAAUGUCUAAUAUUUAUACUCAUGAAGUACCAACAGAAACUUUGAAGUUCAGAACUCAAAAUUUCAAAUGCAUCUGAGGGAGUGCCUAGCUUUGGAGCUGCCACUGUAGUCAUACAAGGACAGUCAUAUAACCUCUGAGAAAUGGAAAGCCCACAGAAUACUGAAAAAAAGACAGUUUUAAAAAUAAUUUCAGAAAUCCAAAAGGAAUUUCAAAAUAAGUUUUUUACUGUUUACACUAGAAGAAAAAAAUGGGAAAUUAAUUAGAUUACUUGAUUUAGAUAACAGAGAGAAAACAAUAUUAACUGUAGGAGGAGGAAUCAAGUCUGUAUCUUAAUUCCUUAAUAUCAUUCUUUUUUUUUUUUUGUAGUACCAGGGAUUGAACUCAGGACUUGUGAGGCAGGCACAGCACCACUGAGCUAAAUCCCCAGCCCUCUUAAUAUCAUUUUUUUCUUCCCAUUUUCCCAUUUUUGAUAUGCUGCUGUGAAGUCAACAUAAUAUGAAGUUUGCAUAUUUGUGUGUGCACCUAAGUAAAAUCAAAUAUAAAUAUUGCGAUGUCAUGGUUCAGAUUAAUUCACACAAUGAUGAAAUUAAGUUUUCAUCAUUUUAAAUAUUUUAGCCACAAAAUUAACUUUCUUUUUACUUGCAGCUUUUGACUGAUAAAGUUUCUACAGCUGCCUAGAUUUCUCAGGUAUCUACUGACUAUGUCUACUCAGACUAUGUCAUGGGCUGGAGCUGUAACUCAGUGGUAGACCAUGUGCUGAGCAUACUCGAGACCCUGAGUUUGAUCCUCAGUACCACAAAUAAGGAGAGGAAAAAUAAGAAUAAGAAAAAGAAAAAGGAAACCAACAGUUCCCUUUGUAUGCAACACAGUGAGAUUACAGUUAUAGUCACAAUGCCAACAGAAAUCACAGAACUGUCUUUGAAAAGCUAACAACCUAAAAAAAAUGUGUAUAGAGAAUACCCAUUCCUAUUAAAGACAAAAAUAAAAAGCUAUUUCCUGUUUCUUAGUGUCCUCUUCCUCUCUCCUUCCCAUUCUUUCCUCCAGAUCUCAGGUCGCUAACUCCUUUUCCCUCAGGGAAAUUGUUUUUUUAAUUAAUCAUGUCUAUGGCCCUUUAAAAUACAAAAUUGGUGAAUGAACAAAGAUCUGACAAAUCAUAUCCUUGCCAUCAAGUCCCAUUUGGAGGAAAGCAUAGGAAAGUCAACUACUACAGUAUUAGGA